UAAAGAUGUGCCACAAGCCCGUAUUUCAUCACCUCCAACUUGACAGUCUUUGGUCUGCUCAAGGACGUGACACACAGCACAUGUUUUCCAAGCUCCUCUUUAUUGGGAUGGAUCUGGACUGUGAUCUGAACAUGAAAAGCAGCUCACUUUGGUUUGACCAGCUUUUCAUUGCUGAUCACUUUAAAGUAACAAAUCCCAGCUGAAUAACCUUCAAAAUAAAUACAUAUUGACUCUGUGCUUUCACAGAACCAAACUCAGAGGCUUCAUUCAUGUUGGAUACAAAAUCUAAGAAUCAUGACAGGAUCUUAUUCCAUUUCAUUUUAGGCCCCACCUUGCAAUCAAAUGACACUCCAACUGAUACCUAUCCUUAUGAAUGAAAAACUCCAUUAAAAUGUAAUCAGCAUCUAUAAAGAUGACUCCACCUUCUGAUCGAGCAUCAUCUUUCUCUCGAGAUACUCCCUCCCUGUCUCUCUCUCAUUUUGAAUUUGCCAGUGCAGAAGUCAAGCAGAUUUCUCUGCGAUCGCUUCUGCAUUCUAUUUCUAAACAUCAUGACAAACCAUUGACAAAGUCGGUGAAAAUCCGAGUGGAAGGAUAUGCUGUAGGUUUCACACUUUUAGUGAACAUGGAUUAUUUCCAACAGCAUCAAUAAGUCAACACUGAGCUGAUAGCAAGCUCAUUUAAGACUACUGUACUCAUUUGUUUAAAAACUCUUCCUGGGUAAAAGAUAUAUACAAUUUUCUAUACAAAAAAUACAUUUUUUCUGUAAACUGAUAUGUGUUUAGCGCACUCCACAUGUGGAAGUAAGUCAGGAACUCAGCUAACUCAUCUGAAUAGCUGCUAGAUACAGAAACGUGUUUGGUGGGAAUAAACACCUAUAUACUGUAGUGUCUAUACAGAAAUUCACUGUAAAAAAGUACAAAACAAAAACAAACAGGGUAGGGGAGAAUUAUGCUUAAAUAGUGAGGGACACGUGGACUGUAAAUGUGACCAUGUUCAUCCUAACAAAGUACCACCCAGAGACCAAUGACGCUGCACCCCAGGGGCUGCCUGAGUCACGGUGUCGCCAUCAAAGUUCCUCCUGGAUCUGCAAAGUUCUUGCAGGCUCGGAAACCAUCAAAAGUCUGUGAUCCUUUCCACUUUGGGUGUCUUGAGGC
RNAcentral lists this long non-coding RNA (1154 nucleotides) under Heterocephalus glaber (naked mole-rat). RNAcentral's name for it is "lncRNA (ENSHGLG00100050123.1)". The record is from RNAcentral. Lineage: Eukaryota; Metazoa; Chordata; Mammalia; Rodentia; Bathyergidae.